ACACGUAGGGGGCGAGCGUUGUUCGGAAUCAUUGGGCGUAAAGGGCGCGUAGGCGGCCCGGUAAGUCUGGAGUGAAAGUCCUGCUUUUAAGGUGGGAAUUGCUUUGGAUACUGUCGGGCUUGAGUGCAGGAGAGGUAAGUGGAAUUCCCAGUGUAGCGGUGAAAUGCGUAGAGAUUGGGAGGAACACCAGUGGCGAAGGCGACUUACUGGACUGUAACUGACGCUGAGGCGCGAAAGCACGGGGAGCAAACAGGAUUAGAUACCCGGGUAGCCCUGGCCGUAAACGAUGUGGACUUGGUGUUGGGAUGGCCUCGAGCUGCCCCAGUGCCGAAGGGAAGCUGUUAAGUCCACCGCCUGGGAAGUACGGUCGCAAGACUGAAACUUAAAGGAAUUGGCGGGG
Molecule: ribosomal RNA, 400 nt
Filed under: uncultured bacterium
Lineage: Bacteria
Description: partial 16S ribosomal RNA
Rfam family: Bacterial small subunit ribosomal RNA
Source: RNAcentral